RNAcentral lists this ribosomal RNA (301 nucleotides) under uncultured bacterium. Its description in RNAcentral is "partial 16S ribosomal RNA". It matches the Rfam family "Bacterial small subunit ribosomal RNA", at positions 509 to 807 of the family's 1533-position model. The record is from RNAcentral.
CAGCAGCCACGGUAAUACAGAGGGUGCGAGCGUUAAUCGGAUUUACUGGGCGUAAAGCGUGCGUAGGCGGCUAAUUGAGUCGGAUGUGAAAUCCCCGAGCUUAACUUGGGAAUUGCAUUCGAUACUGGUUAGCUAGAGUGUGGGAGAGGAUGGUAGAAUUCCAGGUGUAGCGGUGAAAUUCGUAGAGAUCUGGAGGAAUACCGAUGGCGAAGGCAGCCAUCUGGCCUAACACUGACGCUGAGGUACGAAAGCAUGGGGAGCAAACAGGAUUAGAUACCCCGGUAGUCCCUGUCUCUUAUAC